This 466-nucleotide ribosomal RNA is filed under the name uncultured bacterium. RNAcentral's name for it is "bacterial SSU rRNA". It matches the Rfam family "Bacterial small subunit ribosomal RNA", at positions 392 to 858 of the family's 1533-position model. The record is from RNAcentral.
CCAUGCCGCGUGCAGGAAGACGGCCUUCUGGGUUGUAAACUGCUUUUCUCAGGGAAGAAAACCGCUCUUGCGAGAGCGCUUGCCGGUACCUGAGGAAUAAGCACCGGCUAACUCCGUGCCAGCAGCCGCGGUAAUACGGAGGGUGCAAGCGUUGUCCGGAUUUAUUGGGUUUAAAGGGUGCGUAGGCGGCCCGUUAAGUCAGUGGUGAAAGGUAUCAGCUUAACUGAUGAAGUGCCAUUGAAACUGAAGGGCUUGAGUACAGACGAGGUAGGCGGAAUUUAUGGUGUAGCGGUGAAAUGCAUAGAUACCAUAAAGAACACCGAUAGCGAAGGCAGCUUACUAGACUGAGACUGACGCUGAGGCACGAAAGCGUGGGGAGCAAACAGGAUUAGAUACCCUGGUAGUCCACGCCGUAAACGAUGAUUACUGGAUGUAUGCGAUAGACAGCAUGCGUCUAAGCGAAAGC